Molecule: small nuclear RNA, 107 nt
Organism: Arvicola amphibius (Eurasian water vole)
Lineage: Eukaryota; Metazoa; Chordata; Mammalia; Rodentia; Cricetidae
Source: RefSeq, a predicted model, not a curated record
AUGCUGGGUUCGGCAGCACAUAUACUAAAAUUAGAACAAUACAGAGAAGAUUAGCAUGGCCCCUACACAAGGAAGACACUCAAAUACAAAAUAUGAAAAAAUAUAUU